UCUAGUCAGUAGAAUUCAUGGAUUUAAUGGCCGUAUGCUCAACGAAAGCGAAUACUUAAAAUGUGCAAUCGUGAACGAUCGUGUUUUAACGGACAUGACAAAGGUUGGAGUAGAUGUCCGCAGAACAUUGUGUGAUAACAAGACUGACGGUGGAGGUUGGAUUAUUAUUCAGAGACGUAUCAAAGGUGAUGUGAACUUUACAAGAACUUGGAACGAUUAUAAAAACGGAUUUGGCUCAAAUUCUGGAGACUUUUGGAUCGGAAAUGACGUCAUUUUUCGC
Long non-coding RNA from Physella acuta, 280 nucleotides. RefSeq lists it as uncharacterized. The record is from RefSeq and is a predicted model, not a curated record. Lineage: Eukaryota; Metazoa; Mollusca; Gastropoda; Physidae.